This 277-nucleotide unclassified non-coding RNA is filed under the name Glomus sp. RNAcentral's name for it is "partial contains 5.8S ribosomal RNA and internal transcribed spacer 2". The stretch from base 1 to 65 matches the Rfam family "5.8S ribosomal RNA", at positions 84 to 154 of the family's 154-position model. Lineage: Eukaryota; Fungi; Glomeromycota; Glomeromycetes; Glomerales; Glomeraceae. The record is from RNAcentral.
GUGAAUCAUCGAAUUUUUGAACGCAAAUUGCACUCUCUUCGAAGAGUAUGCCUGUUUGAGUGUGAGCCUAAAAAAAAUUAACAUAGAUUCUGUUACGCUGUAACAUUCGUCGGUAAUUAGGUCAUCUUAAAACUUUGGGUUUAAGAGGCUUAAAAUUUUCUUUACGAUUCCAAUAACGUUUCUAAGAUUUUAUCUUCUUAUACGUUUAUGGUACCGUUCUCUAUUAGACGUGGCCGUUGCAUCGGAUCGUGUCUCUAAAUAUUUCGUUAACUGAACU